CAGUGGGUACAAACGAAAUGAAUGUUU
This 27-nucleotide small RNA is filed under the name Bombyx mori (domestic silkworm). Its description in RNAcentral is "ovarian small RNA-4739". Lineage: Eukaryota; Metazoa; Arthropoda; Insecta; Lepidoptera; Bombycidae. The record is from RNAcentral.